This 258-nucleotide unclassified non-coding RNA is filed under the name uncultured Sphingomonadaceae bacterium. RNAcentral describes it as "contains 16S-23S intergenic spacer region". Lineage: Bacteria; Pseudomonadati; Pseudomonadota; Alphaproteobacteria; Sphingomonadales; Sphingomonadaceae. The record is from RNAcentral.
UCCGAUUUGUCACCUGUGCUAGCCCUAUAACGACACGGGCUUUCACCCGCUUUAACUAGCAUGUCAAGCCUAGGUAAGGUUCUUCGCGUUGCAUCGAAUUAAACCACAUGCUCCACCGCUUGUGCGGGCCCCCGUCAAUUCCUUUGAGUUUUAAUCUUGCGACCGUACUCCCCAGGCGGAUAACUUAAUGCGUUAGCUGCGCCACCCAAGCACCAUGUGCCCGGACAGCUAGUUAUCAUCGUUUACGGCGUGGACUAC